UAAUGUUGAAAAAUUAGCGGAUGACCUGUGGCUGGGGGUGAAAGGCCAAUCAAACCGGGAGAUAGCUGGUUCUCCCCGAAAGCUAUUUAGGUAGCGCCUCGUGAAUUCAUCUCCGGGGGUAGAGCACUGUUUCGGCUAGGGGGCCAUCCCGGCUUACCAACCCGAUGCAAACUGCGAAUACCGGAGAAUGUUAUCACGGGAGACACACGGCGGGUGCUAACGUCCGUCGUGAAGAGGGAAACAACCCAGACCGCCAGCUAAGGUCCCAAAGUCAUGGUUAAGUGGGAAACGAUGUGGGAAGGCCCAGACAGCCAGGAUGUUGGCUUAGAAGCAGCCAUCAUUUAAAGAAAGCGUAAUAGCUCACUGGUCGAGUCGGCCUGCGCGGAAGAUGUAACGGGGCUAAACCAUGCACCGAAGCUGCGGCAGCGAACGUAUCACCCAAGACAACUUUACGGAGUUGACGAUUGACGGAGCGAAGCGACGUCAAAGCGUUCAUUAAAGUCGAGUUGGCUUAGGGAUACGUUCGUUGGGUAGGGGAGCGUUCUGUAAGCCUGUGAAGGUGUGUCGUGAGGCAUGCUGGAGGUAUCAGAAGUGCGAAUGCUGACAUAAGUAACGAUAAAGCGGGUGAAAAGCCCGCUCGCCGGAAGACCAAGGGUUCCUGUCCAACGUUAAUCGGGGCAGGGUGAGUCGACCCCUAAGGCGAGGCCGAAAGGCGUAGUCGAUGGGAAACGGGUUAAUAUUCCCGUACUUGGUGUUACUGCGAAGGGGGGACGGAGAAGGCUAUGUUGGCCGGGCGACGGUUGUCCCGGUUUAAGCGUGUAGGUGUGUGUUCCAGGUAAAUCCGGUUCACUUUAACACUGAGGCGUGACGACGAGGCACUACGGUGCUGAAGCAACAAAUGCCCUGCUUCCAGGAAAAGCCUCUAAGCAUCAGGUAACACGAAAUCGUACCCCAAACCGACACAGGUGGUCAGGUAGAGAAUACCAAGGCGCUUGAGAGAACUCGGGUGAAGGAACUAGGCAAAAUGGUGCCGUAACUUCGGGAGAAGGCACGCUGACACGUAGGUGAAGUGAUUUACUCAUGGAGCUGAAGUCAGUCGAAGAUACCAGCUGGCUGCAACUGUUUAUUAAAAACACAGCACUGUGCAAACACGAAAGUGGACGUAUACGGUGUGACGCCUGCCCGGUGCCGGAAGGUUAAUUGAUGGGGUCAGCGCAAGCGAAGCUCCUGAUCGAAGCCCCGGUAAACGGCGGCCGUAACUAUAACGGUCCUAAGGUAGCGAAAUUCCUUGUCGGGUAAGUUCCGACCUGCACGAAUGGCGUAAUGAUGGCCAGGCUGUCUCCACCCGAGACUCAGUGAAAUUGAACUCGCUGUGAAGAUGCAGUGUACCCGCGGCAAGACGGAAAGACCCCGUGAACCUUUACUAUAGCUUGACACUGAACAUUGAGCCUUGAUGUGUAGGAUAGGUGGGAGGCUUUGAAGUGUGGACGCCAGUCUGCAUGGAGCCGACCUUGAAAUACCACCCUUUAAUGUUUGAUGUUCUAACGUGGACCCGUAAUCCGGGUUGCGGACAGUGUCUGGUGGGUAGUUUGACUGGGGCGGUCUCCUCCUAAAGAGUAACGGAGGAGCACGAAGGUUGGCUAAUCCUGGUCGGACAUCAGGAGGUUAGUGCAAUGGCAUAAGCCAGCUUGACUGCGAGCGUGACGGCGCGAGCAGGUGCGAAAGCAGGUCAUAGUGAUCCGGUGGUUCUGAAUGGAAGGGCCAUCGCUCAACGGAUAAAAGGUACUCCGGGGAUAACAGGCUGAUACCGCCCAAGAGUUCAUAUCGACGGCGGUGUUUGGCACCUCGAUGUCGGCUCAUCACAUCCUGGGGCUGAAGUAGGUCCCAAGGGUAUGGCUGUUCGCCAUUUAAAGUGGUACGCGAGCUGGGUUUAGAACGUCGUGAGACAGUUCGGUCCCUAUCUGCCGUGGGCGCUGGAGAACUGAGGGGGGCUGCUCCUAGUACGAGAGGACCGGAGUGGACGCAUCACUGGUGUUCGGGUUGUCAUGCCAAUGGCACUGCCCGGUAGCUAAAUGCGGAAGAGAUAAGUGCUGAAAGCAUCUAAGCACGAAACUUGCCCCGA
This 2122-nucleotide ribosomal RNA is filed under the name Salmonella enterica. RNAcentral describes it as "partial 23S ribosomal RNA". It matches the Rfam family "Bacterial large subunit ribosomal RNA", at positions 784 to 2802 of the family's 2925-position model. Lineage: Bacteria; Pseudomonadati; Pseudomonadota; Gammaproteobacteria; Enterobacterales; Enterobacteriaceae. The record is from RNAcentral.